ACUCAGUCUGGCAAAAGUGUCCUCUACUUUUCUCUGCUCAGUAUAGCUGACGGACCAUGCUUUUCCUCUCAAUGUCUUCCACCUUCUUUUGCACAAUUUUGUUUCUCCCUUGAAGACCUGGGUAUUGUGUGCUCAGUUAGAGAGUCUAAGAUUAAAAUACAGAGGAAGGAAUUAACAGGUUUGACCUAUAACUCAUAAAACCUCCUGUGUAGAUACUUCUCUGUCCCAAAACCAAAUUCCUUCUGCACUGUUCAGUUUUACAGGUUAAUAGUUUGUCGUUUGCUUGAACACACAGGAACUCGUUGGCAAUUCAUCAUUCUGCCUUAGAUCCUUUCGUUGAAUAGGCAGGUCCUGGUAAAGCUGACCUUUGCACAGGUUUAAUGUUUCCCCUUCACACCUUCAAGGCUGAGGAGUUUGACUGACAUCAAUAAUUAAUUUUUGAACAAAUACGGCACACCUUUUCCUAUGGUUCCUCUCAAAGAUAUGAGUCUUUGUGCAUUGCAACAACAGGUAUGUUAUGAAAGGGGGGAGUCCAAAGGACAUUGGUGGGUAUCGAAGUCCAAGAUUCAGCCUGUCUCAGUGCAGUUGCUAACGGUAUGUCUCACUUCAGCUAUGCUGUCAUGUCCAUAGACAAGGUGCCACAGACAAGACGGAAAGGUAUGUGUGUGCACUGCAAAGGCCAGUGCAUUCAGGACAGGUUGCACGAACUGUACUGAGCAACUCUAAAUAGCUGCUUUGGGCACAUGCAAUAACUGUGAUGGGGGGUUCUGGAAGCAGAGCCACUUCAGAUGACUAGUUACGACAGGGAAGUUAAAAAAAAAAAAAGAGAUUCUCAGAUUUUACCCAGGCAAAAAGUUCCCAGGGGAAAAAAACAAACAAACAAACCCACAACUUGUCUUUGUCAACAGCCUCAUGGGAACUAAACACUCCCAUGAUGUAAUGGGGAAAAGGGGUGAAGAUGAUCCACUGAAAGAGAGCAUUCAGUUCUCCUGCGUAUUUGACUAUUGUUCAUCUCUAUGUUAUUGAUUUGAACUGGUCACCAGCAGCGGCAUGAAUAAAACUUCAAAAAUUCAAACUCCUGGACACUGAAAAGCUUACUAAGUGUGAGGCUGAAUGACCCAAACUCUGAAAGGAUCUUUGUUAAGCUGGCUUUGACUUUGCCAAUAUGUAUAAAUAUAUGUUAGCAUAUAAGAAAAAAAAGAGUUCAGGAAAGGAAAGCCAUUACAAUGCACAGGUAACCUGUCUCAGCUUUUGCUAGCUUGGUAUUUGUUAUUAUUAUUUAUGUUCUUACCAAGGACAUUCAGACUUCAGAAUAAGACUAGCUCUAAUCAUUAUUAUUUACUUUGCCUGUACACAUUUCAACUUAAAUUCCUCCAUUCCUGUGUACUAAGCACCAUUAAAAUACCACCCUGAAAACUUGUGCAAGCAACCGUGCCCAAUGCCUUCAGCUUGCAGAGUCCUGUGACCUGAAUCCUAAACCCUGCUAGCCCCAAUUCAACCUUGACAGAAACUGGUCUGGGGAGAAAGGAGGAAUCUGAAUGACAGGUGCUCUUGUCAGCAUCCCUCGCCUUUGAGGGGAGCAUAAAUUACGAUGCAAUUUGUAUUGCAACAUAAAUCAUGGCUGCCUCAAGCUCCACGUAAUUCCUCUGGUGCAGAGUCUGCAGUUCAUGUGAUGUGGUGGGGGCUGGGGGUACAACAGAUGGUAGUGAAGAAACUAAGGGACAAGUGACGCUGAUUCUGCAAACAUCAGCGUCCCAAAAGAAGUGAUGGCCAAGGGCAGUUUUCUGACAGUGGCAACUCUGCAACAAAAGACAGACAGAGGACAAGAUUUUCAAAAGACAUUUAGGUGUCUGCGUGCAGAGAGGCAGAGACUGGAUCAGUUAUAGAAGAAGGUAUGCAGAUGCUUUGGAACAACUUAUUCUGAUUUCUAGAUAGAAAGUAGAACCUACUUUCUAGAGUUCUGGGAAGAACUCUACAGCCAAGUCUGGUGAGGAAAUCUGGGCUGUUACUGGUAUUAUGUUGUUAUGAGAUUCUGUGCAAAUAAAGCUGUAUCAUAGCGAAGGAGUUGGUAUGACUGGACACAGUGUCUGUGACUGUUCUGGAGCAGGGAGGGAAAGCCAUCUGCUUCAAAACUCUCCUUUACAUUUACCUCCUGGGCAAUGCAUCUGUGGGAGUUUCAGGGUGCUCAGCACCAGGGCAAAUCACAUCAUCUUAAUUCUAAGGAUGAACUGGAGCAUGCUAUUCACUUAUGCCUUGCUCUUGAGGUGCCAUAGGCGUCUUGCAGAGCAAACUCAACAGGAAGCCAAAUCAUACUGGUGACUUAUAAAAACUUAGAUUCCCAGGUAAGACAGGCAAUCACCACCAGUCUCUGUACUUGAGUAUGACAAUGCAGCUGUGCCACAAGCCCAUGCAAUCAGGGACUCCGAGUACCGAGGCAGAAAAUCCUCCUGAAUCUUGCUGUCAGGAUGUUUUGACCUCAUUCUAGGUUAACGCUUGCGUAUGCUGCUUGAGCAGAAUGUACUGUAAUGACCAGACACCAAAAGAAUAGCAAAGGUUGCUAUUUCAUGGCUUUUGUAGGACAAACUCAAACAUACAGGCUAAGGCUAGUUAACAAUGACUAUUGCUGCUUUGUUUCUUAACAGUAUAAUUCCUGGGGGUUGGGGAGGAACCAAGAAGUAGCCGCUACUCCUCUGGAUAUGAAUGGAUACUUGAUCUGAAACAGCUGAUAAAAUAGUUGAGUGUUCUUAUAAAAUAAAUCCUGCCUUCUGAAGAAGCUGCAGGAAAAGGAUUUUUCGCAGCUUCCAUGGUCUUAGAGCAAGAUUCCACAGGAUGGAGGUGGGACAUGUUUCUCAUCUAGUCGUGCUCUUAAGUAAUGUUCUUGUCACAAAACCCUCAAAAAAUGGCAGUCACCUGGCACUGAAACAGAUGUCAUUGUUCUUCAGCCAGACUCCACUUCUAAUCCUCCUUUUUUUGUGUUUGAGACAUGCUGUAACCAGAAGAGAGGAGGGAGAGGGAAGUCCGGGAGAAGCUGAGACCUCUACUGCACAUACCACAAAGAGGCACCAGAGUGGAAAGCCCAGCUGAGCUUUGAGGAGCCAGCAGGCUUGGAAGCUUGUAAGCAGAAAAUCUGCAGUAGGCCAAGGUCUGCAUCACAGUGAUACUUGGUGCUUCCACCAUGUGUUUCACAUGUCCUGACACACAACCAGAUACUUCCCGAGACAUGCUUCACUCCACAACCAGCUAGUCCUUCAGCCUCUCCUGCAGUGAAACAAAUCACCUUAACACCUUACUGGGAAAUGAUGCUUCUCACUCUGCAGAAAGGUGGAUUAAAAAUAGAUGGAAAGGAACUAAAAACCAUUCAAAGACCCAAAGAUUAAGCCCAGGAGCUUUAGGCACAAGCUGCCAGAUCCACAUCUCAUGCAAUCACAUGCAUGCAAGGAAAGCAAACAGGCUGUGUCUUCGAAUCAUGCCUGCAUACCUGUUGAGAACUACAUGCUCUGGUUCAGCCAUAUGUUAUUGAGCUUGGUGCAGGAAUUAUAAGCAGUAGUUCUUUGGGCUCAGCUAAGACUUGAAGGUCAGCCCUCAUUAAUGCAACAUUGGCCUUAAGAAAUGUGUGAUUCUUUACCCUGUGCCAGACUGAAUUUGGAAGGUCAAUCUGCAGCAAGUCCUUCUUCUGCCAUCAAAAUUUUGCAAUAGAGAGCAUGACUUCCUCUUCUCAUAAGGUUACCAGGUUUUGGGCCGACGGUCGACUCUGGAGGAGCAGGCCAGGCAGAGCACAGUACUGCGAGGUCCUGGGCAUCUCCAAGGCCUGGAUUCGCAUGGGAGCUGGGAGUGCUGAAUGCCUCGUAGGAGUAUUUGGAACCGAACACAAUGAAGCCCAUGGAAGAACAAGGAGGUUCAGGCAUUGCCUCUUAACGUCUGAUGUGUCCACAGCACCAUCCCAAGGAAAGACAGUUUGGGCAGAGACAGGCACUGUAUGGUUGACUUGAGCUUGUUAACCUGCUGCCAGCAGAGGAUCGCCUCCAUUCACCAUGGUACUUCUGAUCUCUACAGCACAAUUACCUUCCCGCUGUUCAUGUGCUUACCCACCGCUAAUGAGUGGACACAGAGAAAGUAUUAAAAGCAGGAAGGAGCAGUAUUAAAUCCCACUGGAAUAUCUGCAGGCUUGCCAAGAGCUUUCUUGGCCUUCUCCGCAGGAUGAAGGGGAAAAUUCUGAGGGUCAUUUCUUACUUCCAGGGUUUCUUAGUCUCCUUUGACCACUAAUAUGUUCUCUGACUUCAUUUUAAAGGAUUGAGUUGUACAACUGGAAGAAUCGUUUUCUCACCCAUUAGCCAUUUGACACAGAGAUAGAUUCUCACAAAAAAAUGAAACACAGCCUCUUACUGUCUGCCCCAUCAGCACUGAGUGGUCCAACAUAGCUAUGUACAUCUUUGAAGUUAGCAGCAUAAGUGCGCCAGGUCUUUUUAUAAGGUUGCAUGUGAAAUUGUCAGAGGAAUGAAACCAUUUGCAGAUGGUGGAGUGAUAAAGAUGGUACGGUAUCUCACUUGUAUGUGCCCUCAUUUCCUUAGGAAUAGAAGAAAAGGAAAAUGGGAGGAGGGAAAAAAAAGCAGUGGAAGGAAGGAGACAAUCUAACAAAUGCAAUUCUUUUGACAACAGUGUUGAAGGAGUAAGUGAGAUUCCUGGCAACACCAACAGGACUCCAAAGACUAGCUGACUGCUGCAAUAUUUAUUACUUUGCUUUGAUGAAACCUCUGACAUCAAGGACUUUUCUUAGUGACUGAUUUUUGUCAGAAUAAUGCUUCAGGAACUGAAUGUGACAGAAAAUUUUUUUUGGACAUGAAGCCCGUGCAUUAUGGCAGGAGAAAGAAGACAUAAAAAAAGCUGCCUUGAAGCAGCUUGAUGUGGCCCUGGAGAAAAGAGCUGUUAUCACUACUUACUGAUGUAGUCACAGCAAGAGCAACUGUUACCAAAAUGUAAGUAGUAAGACAGAUAGUCCAGCAUCAGUCAUGUUCUCUACCUGUUGCUCUCCCUUAUCAGAGCCCAGUGGAGGCUGGAACUGGCACAAGGAAACCAGGUUGAAGAAGCAUUUGGAAAGUACUUCCACAAAUGAAAUAGAAAUUGGCUUUAUUCUGCAGCCAUGUCAGCUCUACUCCAUGUUUUCUAAUACCCCAACAUUAUAUGCAGCAACCGUAAAUGUGUUGAACGUUAUGUACACUGCUGGGGCUUGUGACAAUGAAGAGGCUGUGAAGUGCCCAGGCAAUCCUACACCUCCCCAAAACCUCUCUGGUUAUACAUGGCUCAAGAACAUGCUCCUUCUCUGGCACCCUGAGAAGACUUCCUUGCUGGGAGACUGAACAGGAUGAACACCUCAGCAGUGAAAAAGGGAUAGUCCUGGUCUGCUAGGCUACACCACAUUGGUGCAGGAGUCCGACAUAGUGCUUUGGGUUUUAUGUGCCCAUUUUGAGCAGCCUGCCAGAAUAAGUAGUUGGUCCUGAAGACCGCGCCUAUUGCCAUCUUCUUUAGGUAGCUCUUCCUUUCUGUCCACUUGCCUGAAACUUCUGAGUGCCUACCUAAGAGCUGCUCUGCCACAGAAAAAGGGCUGAACCUGUGGAUUUAGGCAGUACUUUCUUAACAGGCAGCGGCACUAUCAGAUAAGCUUCAGGCUUUGCCUCGGUAGCAACUGCUGAUGCAGAAGGCAAUGCUAUUCCUCUGCUUGCUCCUCUGCACAGCUGAAUGCAGCAUGUGGAGGGUAGAAGGAUGCUCUGAUGUGCCUACAGCUGUGACUGUAGGUCUUCACAGAAGAACAGAACCUCUAGGAAAAAAAAAUGCUUCCAAACUAGCUGUAGUAUCAUAGACGUUUGUGUGUAGUCAGCUUCUCAGGUAGUAAUUAGAACGAAAUGAUUAGAGAGACUACAUACAGAGAUGUAGUCUAGAAUAGUGGAAAAUAUUUUCAGAGUAAGUAUGUGACCUUUUGCUGAUAGAGAUCUUCUGAUGAUCUGAAUCUCUGUUAUCAAAGUUGCACUGCACUUGUUUGGAAAUUCUGAGAUUUAUUCCUUUCAAAACACACUUUGAUUAAAAUUUUAGCCACCCUUAUUUCAAGUCCACAGGUCUUUGAGAUGCUAGCCUUGGAGAAACCUACACUGAAAUCUUUGGCUUAAGGGAGAUAUUUGUUCUGCUUUUUUCCUAUCAAAAGAUUCCAGUUGAAAAUCCGAGAUGGAGUUACAGUGCUCUGCUGCAGAACUGUUGUUUUAAACCUCGAGGCCAGUGUGGUAGUAAGAUAUGCUAAUCUUCUCUGGAUACCUCCGUAUAUUUCUGUGUAUUGUAUAAACACACCUUCCUGCUUUGAUUACACCUCAUGCCGUGUAAUCACGUUUGCUUUCAGUGGGAAUUUUGCAAGGCAUAUGGUUGGUGUUUGGAGGAGAAAAAAGACAAAAUCUUCUCAGGCCCCAAACUAUGUAUUCUUAACAUCAGAUUUUGCUUUGACUUGCCUAAUAUGGACUGUACCUUGAGAUGUGGGCUUUUUUCAAGAGAGAAAUGUGCUUGAAUAAAAAACAGACCCAAAUACUUUACAGUUAGUUAUAUCAUAAGUGUAGAAAGAUACCAUCCUGAAUGGUAAAUAAAACACUUACCAGUGUAGGAAAGUAUUGUUACUAUAGGGCAGUAGAUUGGCUUAGAAUGUACUGCAUGCUCCUUUAUCUUUCUGGUUAUAUAGAAAAGGAAAAACAAGCAAGCCACUAACUCUUGAAACAUCUGUAUGUGUAAGGCUUUCAGUGGGAGCCAGACUGGCAUACAGUGCAGAAUUUAUAAUUCAUACUUUCGCAAGGAAUGUGACAGGAUUUCCAAAUACCGAAAUGGCAAACACUCAGAGAUGUUGUAAAUUAACCCACAUGUGAAACCCCUGCUCUGUCCUUUCUGUUCAUUGCCUCAUUUUGGUUCGUUUGACAGGGCAGGAUUUCUCCCUGGAUCUGGGUAUGUUACAUACACCUGUCAAGCAGAAGCUUCAAGAUGGCCCCAGGGGACCAUCUUUAAAAGACACUCCUGCAAUAACAAUGAACCUACCAUACAUCUGCAGUCUGUUUCUUUAAAAGGGUCAGAGAUUUAAAAACACACUGGCCAAACCACUGCAAUUUUCACAGAGCUUACUCUGGAGCAGGGUAUGCUAACACCCAGGUUUGGACCUGCACCUCCUCCCUUGCGCACCUGGGAGCGAGGGUGGACCCCCGCUGAAGCCCAGCAGCACUACCCUGUUGUAAAGUGUGUAAGGAGAGAGCAGACAUCCCUUGUCAGGCGGUGGUGGGUGUUUUUGCACAAGUACAUUGGCCUAGGGAAGCAGUAAGCCUGCUUCUGAGUGGAGUCUGGGUUUCGGUUAUAUAGGGCUCUAAUUCACUACGAUUUCGCAGUAACCGCCCGGGUGCUGCUGAUAGCCCCUAGAACAGUACUGCAAUAGCCUGGCCCUGCUGCCCAGCCGAGACCCAGGCACACGGAGUGCAUCGGCCAGCCCUGCUACCCGGGGCUGCCUAGAGCAGCCUGCACGUUGCCCAAAGAAAAGGGCUUCCCUGGCUUCAUUCCCCUAAAAAUCCCCUUAGUUCUGGCAAUAUUUCAGACAUGAGCUCGCCUAACCUACGGCAGGGGACACACCAGAGUUUGAGGACCCCCGUUUAGUAACUUGCUUUCUGUCUGGCUCCUCCUGAGCAUGGGUGUGAAUAACAAGGACACAGGGAGUUUGUGCAAGAGGUCUGAGUCUUCAGCUGGGUGCCUGGGAGGCCCCCUCCUCCUCCUGAGGUGUGGAGUCACUGGGUCUGCACAUGCACGUCUCUAAAUCCUGUCUGCUCGCUCAGGAAUGUGGAUACCAACUCAGCCACGGGCUAAUGAAGCAGAUGAAGUGUUGCCCUUUGCUUUAAAAAGAAUAUCUUAACCCUAGCAGGACUUUGCUGACCGCUUUUAUGCAAAACCACUUGUUUGCUUUGUACACGAUGGGAGGAUAUGGCUGACAGAUAGUUUAAACUGGGCUAAAAUAUGUCACUGACUUUUUUCUUUUUUAUUGUAUUUUUGCAGCAUAUGCUGGCUCAUAAAUUUAUGAACUAUUUUUAAAGGACUCCUUACAAAAAUAAGUAUAUUUGAGCUGUUUAAAUUUGUUCUUAAUAAGUGGAAAGAUUUAGUAAAACAGGCCUGAUGUGAUGACUUGGGAGGGAUUAUUCACCCCUGAUGCCAAUAUAUUCCAGAGAGCCUGAAGAAUUAAGCACUCCGAGUGUCGAAAGCAAUCUGAAUAUCACCUAAAACUUGUGCUGAACGGAGCUCUUGUCCGCAAGGGUUGAAGGUGUCAGAAAUGCAGUGUGAGGCAGGGGACUGGAUAACAGGUGAAAGCAGGUAAGAUCUAACUUUGCAUUUUAAUAUGAGCUUUUCAGAGGGUGAUGUAGUCGAGCUCUGCAAAGAAAUCUGGCUGAUAAAGCUGUGGGGCAAAGCAUAGCUUUGAUAAAUGAUGUGCUUCACAAUUGCAUUCCUACCAAGUGCUGCUGUCACUCACUGAGCAAAUUUAUUGUAUUUUAUUCUAAAUCGUGUUGGACUGCAGGUGUUAGGAAUUUUCCUCUUGAAUCUCUUAUCCUGCUCAUGGUUUCACUUUUCUUUAAAGAAACUUAUUUAACCACUUAAAAACAGAAUUUGCUAGCGGUUUUUAAUGUUCUCUCAGAUGGGAAAGGAAUCCCAGGGAACUGCAGACCCUCCCAAUGGAUCAGUGGAUGCAGGUAGCAUGGGCAUAAUUUGAAGCAGAGUCCUUGCAGGAUGGCACAUCCUGCAAGAAGGGCUUUUCAGUGAGAUCCCUGAGGUAUUGAAGUGCUGAGAAAUAGUCAGAGGGAAUGUCAGGAAUUACUCCUGAGGAUGAAGCAUGGCCAAAGCUAGCGUUGGUAUAGGAUGCUUUUGGUAAAACAGGCAGGCUGAGUUCCACCAUUUGAUGUAUCUGCUUGUAUCAGUGUUCCACAAAGGGCAGAGAUGUCAACUCAUGUCAUGUCCGUGUCCUCUCUCCAAUCGAUUUUCUUAGGUGAGUAUUUUCCCGGACCAUAGUCCGUGGAUGGCUGGCAGGCAGCCAGAAGUUUACUGUCCAGUGGUGCUGGCUUUCUUCCUCAUGCCCACCUGUUAUAAUAUAACGUACACUGUUAAAUGUCUAUGUAAAGGUGCCCUUGAUAUAUUGCUUCUGCUGUAGUAGCUACAGGGAUGUAACAUUAUUGUGAAUGGGAAAAGGCUCAUUUAAUUGCAGAUGAACAGACUCAUGCCAUGAUAGAGCCUUGAAAAUCCUUUCUAGACCCAAUGGGGAUACUCAUUACUUUUCUUUAUGUUCAAAAUAAUUCUGUAUGUACCAAAUUCUCUGUCCAUGUGGAACUUUGUGUAGGUUUCUUGUUACUCUCUGCUUGGGAAAGUGGUGGUGUCCUUCCACACCACCACACUGAACCUUCAGUUCACCCUACUCAUACCAAAGUCAUUAUCCAAAAUCACUGACAUUCUUCUGGCUUGUAUGAAGGUACAUAGCUUCACUUCUUUUUACUGCAGCCGUUUGCAUGUUUUACUAAUGAGCAGGUAAAAGCUUACACUUCAGGAUGGCUAUUGCAACUGCAGAAAUCAGCCUUGGAAGAUGAUUAAAAUCUUCUUUGUCUCUCUUUAAGUGAGUGGGCAAUAGCAGGCUGCAGAAAUGUGAGUUGGAGCAUUACACAAAGUCAUGUUCAAGGCCACUCCAGUUGAUUGCUCUAUAAACACACUAUGUAGAGAGACCAAGGUAUCAAAUGUUUCCAGAAGUGCUGCUAGUGGCAUUGCUCCUUUAUGUUUUCCUGGCUACAGAAAUUAGUAAGUCCUAAGUGUGCCAGGCUGGUGAGCUAUCCAGACCUGUUCUUUGAUCUGUAGAAGGGUGUUUGCUAAGAAGACUAUAGAAAGUUCUACUUGGCACGUCCCCUUGUAUUACACAGCUAGUGAUCAGAGUAUAAAUUCAAAGCCUAUUUUAACAUUUUUCCUUCUGUAGUUAUAAAAAGUCAGAACAGCAUGUGGGGCUGGAGUUCUUGCCCCGGGAAGGAGGGGAAAUUCUUUACACCAGAAACAUGGAUUUCUUUUCUGGGGCUAGUGAGUUUGUGAGGAGUAAUUCAAAGUGGCUUGAGGCAAAAUAUGGUGACUAUAAGCUAACUGCAAGGUAGAAACCACUUUGAGAUUAUUCCUUUCGUUUUCAUUUUUCUCUGUCAGACAGUCGCUUCCGAAACCAAGACACAUUUUGACUGGGCUCCUGUGGAUUUUUGAGCCCUCCAUUAACCUGGAAAGUUUCGGCUAGGGCAAUGUGCUGAUUCCAGGUCUGGAAUCUCAUUUCUGCUAAACACACAGUUUCCCUGUUCGGAGCUAGGGGCUUGCUUGGGCUUCCCUAGAGCUAAAUGCU
Molecule: long non-coding RNA, 10405 nt
Organism: Dromaius novaehollandiae (emu)
Lineage: Eukaryota; Metazoa; Chordata; Aves; Casuariiformes; Dromaiidae
Exons: 5
Source: RefSeq, a predicted model, not a curated record